Long non-coding RNA from Zonotrichia albicollis (white-throated sparrow), 736 nucleotides. The record is from Ensembl. NCBI's taxonomy places the organism in Eukaryota, Metazoa, Chordata, Aves, Passeriformes, Passerellidae.
GUGACGAGCAGAGUGCCAAAAAUACAGAAGAGUUGGCACAUAAAAUCCAUGUCUACUCUAGCUACUCUGUCAGGGCUAAAAAGAAAAAAGUCCUGAAUGAGCCUUGGAGAGUCAACAAAUCACUAAAAUAGCAGCUAAAAGAGGAAGUUCAGCACGAGUUCAAGUCAUUAAAAUUCCCUCUAAUGUAUGCUCUCGCAGACCAGUGGGCUGAGUGUGAUCCUGGGGAGGGGAAGGAUGUGUGUGAGCUUGUGAGCAAGGGGAAAAUGGACAGGGCUGAUGUUGCUGACCUUCAGUGUGCUAGCCUGAUCAUUCCUGUUGUUUGAGAUGGCUGGGUGGGAAGAAAAGGUAAUGUGGAGAAAAAAAGGAGACUUACACCUGGAUUGUCCAUGUUAGCCUCAUUUCUCAUUGCCUCCAGAGGGAGUUCUGUUCAGGGAGUGCAAAGCAGGCCUGGAGGGAGUGGAAGUUGUCCUGUUGGACCAGGAGAAGAUUUCCAGUGUCUGAUCCCCGGGAGCUGCAAUCAGCUGAGGUUUCUGCUUGCCACACGUCCCUGAAUGUGACAAGGAGAGAGGGUUUCACUCUCAGCUGGCGAGGAGCCCUCUGCACACCCAGACUGUGGUGCAUGGUCAGGAGGUCAUUUCUGCCCACACAGUGGCCCAGCGCUGUCCCAGCAUGGAGCACUGAGGGCUGCUGCAGAUGUACUGCACUCACAGGCAGGUUUCCUUUGGAUGGAAAAUGA